RNAcentral lists this ribosomal RNA (245 nucleotides) under uncultured Marinilabilia sp. RNAcentral describes it as "partial 16S ribosomal RNA". It matches the Rfam family "Bacterial small subunit ribosomal RNA", at positions 524 to 768 of the family's 1533-position model. The record is from RNAcentral. Lineage: Bacteria; Pseudomonadati; Bacteroidota; Bacteroidia; Marinilabiliales; Marinilabiliaceae.
UACGGAGGAUGCGAGCGUUAUCCGGAUUUAUUGGGUUUAAAGGGUGCGUAGGCGGAAUGGUAAGUCAGUGGUGAAAUCCUGCAGCUCAACUGUAGUUGUGCCAUUGAUACUGUCAUUCUUGAGUACAGAUGAGGUAGGCGGAAUGAGUAGUGUAGCGGUGAAAUGCAUAGAUAUUACUCAGAACACCAAUUGCGAAGGCAGCUUACUAAACUGACACUGACGCUGAAGCACGAAAGCGUGGGUAU